AUUGAACGCUGGCGGCAGGCCUAACACAUGCAAGUCGAGCGAGCGGCGGACGGGUGAGUAAUGUAUGGGGAACUGCCCGAUGGAGGGGGAUAACUACUGGAAACGGUAGCUAAUACCGCAUACCAUCAGAUGUGCCCAGAUGGGAUUAGCUAGUAGGUGGGGUAAUGGCUCACCUAGGCGACGAUCCCUAGCUGUUCUGAGAGGAUGACCAGCCACACUGGAACUGAAACACGGUCCAGACUCCGACGGGAGGCAGCAGGGGUGAAUAUGGCACAAUGGGCGCAAGCCGGUGGCAGCCAUGCCGCGUGUGUGAAGAAGUCCUUCGGGUUGUAAAGGACUUUCAGCGGGGAGGCGUGACCCGCAGAAUAAGCACCGGCUAACUCCGUGCCAGCAGCCGCGGUAAUAC
RNAcentral lists this ribosomal RNA (406 nucleotides) under uncultured bacterium. RNAcentral's name for it is "partial 16S ribosomal RNA". It matches the Rfam family "Bacterial small subunit ribosomal RNA", at positions 29 to 526 of the family's 1533-position model. The record is from RNAcentral.